AACUGUUUGAAAAAGUCAAUUUUUAUGGCGAAAACACCAUAAUAUUUGAUAUUUCGAUGUAUCAGAAGGUUGAAAGAUGGACGAUUUAGAACUGAUACAGCGAUUCUAUGACGAAUUCUUUGGACACAAUUCAACGAUAUCAAGACAUUCACAUGAAAUUGAACUACCUAGAGUAACGUCUGAUGAUGAAAAUGAUGACAAUCAAGUGGC
Long non-coding RNA from Mya arenaria, 210 nucleotides. RefSeq lists it as uncharacterized. NCBI's taxonomy places the organism in Eukaryota, Metazoa, Mollusca, Bivalvia, Myida, Myidae. The record is from RefSeq and is a predicted model, not a curated record. The transcript has 3 exons.